CCUACGGGUGGCAGCAGUGAGGAAUAUUGGUCAAUGGACGAGAGUCUGAACCAGCCAAGUAGCGUGAAGGAUGACUGCCCUAUGGGUUGUAAACUUCUUUUAUAUGGGAAUAAAAUGUUCCACGUGUGGGAUUUUGUAUGUACCAUAUGAAUAAGGAUCGGCUAACUCCGUGCCAGCAGCCGCGGUAAUACGGAGGAUUCGAGCGUUAUCCGGAUUUAUUGGGUUUAAAGGGAGCGUAGGUGGAAUGUUAAGUCAGUUGUGAAAGUGUGCGGCUCAACCCCCAAAUUGCCGUUGAAACUGGCAGUCUUGAGUGCAGUAGAGGUAGGCGGAAUUCGUGGUGUAGCGGUGAAAUGCUUAGAUAUCACGAAGAACUCCGAUUGCGAAGGCAGCUCACUGGACCGCAACUGACGCUGAGGCACGAAAGUGUGGGUAUCGAACAGGAUUAGAUACCCCUGUAGUC
This 460-nucleotide ribosomal RNA is filed under the name uncultured bacterium. RNAcentral's name for it is "partial 16S ribosomal RNA". It matches the Rfam family "Bacterial small subunit ribosomal RNA", at positions 338 to 795 of the family's 1533-position model. The record is from RNAcentral.